UACGAGGGGUGCAAGCGUUGCUCGGAAUUAUUGGGCGUAAAGGGUAGGUAGGUGGUCUCGUUUGUCUGGGGUGAAAUCCUUGAGCUUAACUCAAGAAGUGCCCCAGAAACGGCGAGACUAGAGUACUGGAGAGGGUCGUGGAAUUCCCGGUGUAGCGGUGAAAUGCGCAGAUAUCAGGAGGAACACCGGUGGCGAAGGCGGGUCUCUGGGCCGAUACUGACGCUGAGGAGCGAAAGCGUGGGGAGCGAACAGG
This 253-nucleotide ribosomal RNA is filed under the name uncultured bacterium. RNAcentral describes it as "partial 16S ribosomal RNA". It matches the Rfam family "Bacterial small subunit ribosomal RNA", at positions 524 to 776 of the family's 1533-position model. The record is from RNAcentral.